CAACGCCCAAGCAAUCUCCUGUCUUGUCGGGAACGCAGAGGGGAGGGAGCUGCUUAAUUUCUUUCUCUUUUCCUUCUUACUUUCCUUUUCCCUUUCAUUUAUUCCCUCCUUUUUUUGCUCAUCUCUAUCAAUUGUAAUCAGAAUUCUAGUUCUCUGCAAGCAUGUUGUGUCGGGCCGCUCAACGGCGACAAACGCUACUCCAAUUAGGCAGAUCGUAUGAGCACCUAUCUUCCCCGUGGAUUUCCUCUGUGUACCCGCGAUUGAAGUGCCAAUCGAGCAGAAUUCAAACUUUGUGUCGACCGGUUAUCCUGCCAACACUCGAGGCUCCCAACUCCCUAUCCUUACAAUCCACCCGUUCAUUAGCGACAGCGACAUCAGAUAUCAAUAUUCCGUUCGAGGGCCUACCAUAUGGGCAUGCAGAGAUCCACUCGCCUCUAAAUGUCUCCCCUCUUUCGAAUUCGCCAUGGAACGAGCGGCUUCCUUAUCCGGAGCCCGACGACAUCGAUACCUCUUCAGUCAUCAUACGAAAGGAUUUCCUAAUCAGCCG
This 547-nucleotide small RNA is filed under the name Histoplasma capsulatum. Its description in RNAcentral is "hypothetical RNA". Lineage: Eukaryota; Fungi; Ascomycota; Eurotiomycetes; Onygenales; Ajellomycetaceae. RNAcentral also lists the same sequence under 1 other name. The record is from RNAcentral.